AUCCAGCUGACGAGUCUUGAAUAGGACGAAGUGGAGCGCUUCCUGGAU
Molecule: non-coding RNA, 48 nt
Organism: Schistosoma rodhaini
Lineage: Eukaryota; Metazoa; Platyhelminthes; Trematoda; Strigeidida; Schistosomatidae
Source: Rfam